Ursus americanus (American black bear) is the source of this 330-nucleotide unclassified non-coding RNA. Its record names the gene 7SK. It matches the Rfam family "7SK RNA". Rfam says of the family: 7SK was discovered as an abundant small nuclear RNA in the mid-70s but a possible function has only recently been suggested. Two independent studies have found that 7SK RNA binds the CDK9/cyclin T complex (known as elongation factor P-TEFb). NCBI's taxonomy places the organism in Eukaryota, Metazoa, Chordata, Mammalia, Carnivora, Ursidae. The record is from Ensembl.
GCUUGUGAGGGUGAUCUGGCUGUGACAUCUGUCACCCCAUCGAUCGCCAGGGUUGAUUUGGCUGAGCUGGCUGGCUAGGUGGGUGUCCUGUUCUUCCCUCACUGCUCCAUGUGUGUCCCUCCCGAAGCUGUGUACUUGGUCUAAGAGGAUGACCUUCCCAAUAAAGGAGGACCGUUCUCUGGUCAAGGGUAUAUGAGUCACUGCAGUCCCCUGACAGAACCUGCAAACAAGCUCUCAAGGUCCAUUUGUAGGACAACGUAGGGUAGUCAAGCUUCGAAGACUCCAGACACAUCCAAACAAAAUUCUGCAUGUGACACUCUGCCUUCCUUU